CCUACGGGUGGCAGCAGUGGGGAAUAUUGGAUAAUGGGCGAAAGCCUGAUCCAGCCAUGCCGCGUGUGUGAAGAAGGCCUUCGGGUUGUAAAGCACUUUCAGUGGGGAAGAAAGCCUUGGGGCUAAUACCCUCGAGGAAGGACAUCACCCACAGAAGAAGCACCGGCUAACUCCGUGCCAGCAGCCGCGGUAAUACGGAGGGUGCGAGCGUUAAUCGGAAUUACUGGGCGUAAAGCGCGCGUAGGCGGUCUGAUAAGCCGGUUGUGAAAGCCCCGGGCUCAACCUGGGAACGGCAUCCGGAACUGUCAGGCUAGAGUGCAGGAGAGGAAGGUAGAAUUCCCGGUGUAGCGGUGAAAUGCGUAGAGAUCGGGAGGAAUACCAGUGGCGAAGGCGGCCUUCUGGACUGACACUGACGCUGAGGUGCGAAAGCGUGGGUAGCAAACAGGAUUAGAUACCCCUGUAGUC
This 465-nucleotide ribosomal RNA is filed under the name Vreelandella stevensii. RNAcentral's name for it is "partial 16S ribosomal RNA". It matches the Rfam family "Bacterial small subunit ribosomal RNA", at positions 338 to 795 of the family's 1533-position model. The record is from RNAcentral. Lineage: Bacteria; Pseudomonadati; Pseudomonadota; Gammaproteobacteria; Oceanospirillales; Halomonadaceae.